This 459-nucleotide ribosomal RNA is filed under the name uncultured bacterium. Its description in RNAcentral is "bacterial SSU rRNA". It matches the Rfam family "Bacterial small subunit ribosomal RNA", at positions 355 to 831 of the family's 1533-position model. The record is from RNAcentral.
UGGGGAAUAUUGCCCAAUGGGGGAAACCCUGAUGCAGCAACGCCGCGUGAGUGAUGACGGUUUUCGGAUUGUAAAGCUCUUUCUUCAGGGACGAUAAUGACGGUACCUGAGGAGGAAGCCCCGGCUAACUACGUGCCAGCAGCCGCGGUAAUACGUAGGUGGCAAGCGUUGUCCGGAUUUACUGGGCGUAAAGGGAGCGUAGGUGGAUAUUUAAGUGGGAUGUGAAAUACUCGGGCUUAACCUGGGUGCUCCAUUCCAAACUGGAUUUUUAGAGUGCAGGAGAGGAAAGUAGAAUUCCUAGGGUAGCGGUGAAAUGGGUAGAGAUUAGGAAGAAUCCCAGUGGGGAAGGCGACUUUUUGGACUGUAACUGACAUUGAGGCUGGAAAGCGUGGGGAGCAACCAGGAUUAGAUACCCUGGUAGUCCACCCCGUAAACGAUGAUUACUAGGUUAGUCGUUUC